This 347-nucleotide ribosomal RNA is filed under the name uncultured Pseudomonas sp. Its description in RNAcentral is "bacterial SSU rRNA". It matches the Rfam family "Bacterial small subunit ribosomal RNA", at positions 1037 to 1382 of the family's 1533-position model. Lineage: Bacteria; Pseudomonadati; Pseudomonadota; Gammaproteobacteria; Pseudomonadales; Pseudomonadaceae. The record is from RNAcentral.
GGUGCUGCAUGGCUGUCGUCAGCUCGUGUCGUGAGAUGUUGGGUUAAGUCCCGUAACGAGCGCAACCCUUGUCCUUAGUUACCAGCACGUUAUGGUGGGCACUCUAAGGAGACUGCCGGUGACAAACCGGAGGAAGGUGGGGGAUGACGUCAAGUCAUCAUGGCCCUUACGGCCUGGGCUACACACGUGCUACAAUGGUCGGUACAAAGGGUUGCCAAGCCGCGAGGUGGAGCUAAUCCCAUAAAACCGAUCGUAGUCCGGAUCGCAGUCUGCAACUCGACUGCGUGAAGUCGGAAUCGCUAGUAAUCGUGAAUCAGAAUGUCACGGUGAAUACGUUCCCGGGCCUU